UACGUAGGGGGCAAGCGUUGUCCGGAAUCAUUGGGCGUAAAGCGCGUGUAGGCGGCUCGAUAAGUCCGCUCUGAAAGUCCAGGGCUCAACCCUGGAAGGCGGGUGGAUACUGUCGAGCUCGAGUCCGGAAGAGGCGAGUGGAAUUCCCGGUGUAGCGGUGAAAUGCGCAGAUAUCGGGAGGAACACCGGUGGCGAAGGCGGCAUCCUGGACCAAUACUGACACUGAGGAGCGAAAGCCAGGGGAGCAAACGGG
RNAcentral lists this ribosomal RNA (253 nucleotides) under uncultured bacterium. RNAcentral's name for it is "partial 16S ribosomal RNA". It matches the Rfam family "Bacterial small subunit ribosomal RNA", at positions 524 to 776 of the family's 1533-position model. The record is from RNAcentral.